This 498-nucleotide ribosomal RNA is filed under the name uncultured bacterium. Its description in RNAcentral is "partial 16S ribosomal RNA". It matches the Rfam family "Bacterial small subunit ribosomal RNA", at positions 28 to 507 of the family's 1533-position model. The record is from RNAcentral.
GACGAACGCUGGCGGCGUGCCUAAUACAUGCAAGUCGAACGAGAGCGACCGGUGCUUGCACUGGUCAAUCUAGUGGCGGACGGGUGAGUAACACGUGGGUAACCUGCUCAUCAGAGGGGGAUAACAUCCGGAAACGGAUGCUAAAACCGCAUAGGUCUUCGAGCCGCAUGGCUUGAAGAGGAAAAGAGGCGCAAGCUUCUGCUGAUGGAUGGACCCGCGGUGCAUUAGCUAGUUGGUGAGGUAACGGCUCACCAAGGCCGUGAUGCAUAGCCGACCUGAGAGGGUGAUCGGCCACAUUGGAACUGAGACACGGCCCAAACUCCUACGGGAGGCAGCAGUAGGGAAUCUUCCGCAAUGGACGCAAGUCUGACGGAGCAACGCCGCGUGAGUGAAGAAGGUUUUCGGAUCGUAAAACUCUGUUGUUAGAGAAGAACAAGUGCUAGAGUAACUGUUAGCGCCUUGACGGUAUCUAACCAGAAAGCCACGGCUAACUACGUG